Non-coding RNA from Procambarus clarkii (red swamp crayfish), 346 nucleotides. Lineage: Eukaryota; Metazoa; Arthropoda; Malacostraca; Decapoda; Cambaridae. The record is from RefSeq and is a predicted model, not a curated record.
AGUUUCGCGCUUGCCGGGGCUGUGUGAGGAAGUCCUCCUGAGGUUCACAGGCGCCUUAUAAGUACAAGAUCAGGAUGCUGGACAGCCUACCAGUGCGCCAUCUCCUCCCUACCAUGCUGCCCCUACUUCGUGUCCUCCUGGUAGGGGUGCUAAGGACGGGCCGUCAGGGAGACUAUCUCCCUCCCCUUGCUGUUCUUCCAGAGUAUGACUUCAUAGUCGUGGGCGGAGGUACAGCAGGAUGUGUACUGGCGUCAAAGGUUGUCAGAGAUUGGGAGUGGAAGGUCCUGCUGCUGGAGGCUGGGGGCGCGCCGCCCCCUGAAAGCGAGAUCCCGGGACUAAGUCGAGU